This 477-nucleotide ribosomal RNA is filed under the name uncultured bacterium. RNAcentral describes it as "partial 16S ribosomal RNA". It matches the Rfam family "Bacterial small subunit ribosomal RNA", at positions 28 to 507 of the family's 1533-position model. The record is from RNAcentral.
GAUUAACGCUGGCGGCGUGCAUAACACAUGCAAGUCGAACGAUGAAACUUAAAUGAUUUCUUCGGAAUGAACUUAAGUGGAUUAGUGGCGGACGGGUGAGUAACGCGUGAGUAACCUGCCUUACACAAGGGGAUAGCCGUUGGAAACGACGAAUAAUACCCUAUGAAACUAUCACUUCGCAUGAAGCGAUAGUCAAAGUGUUAGCGGUGUAAGAUGGACUUGCGUCUGAUUAGCUAGUUGGUGAGAAAAAAGCCCACCAAGGCAACGAUCAGUAGCCGGCUUGAGAGAGUGUACGGCCACAUUGGGACUGAGACACGGCCCAGACUCCUACGGGAGGCAGCAGUGGGGAAUUUUGCACAAUGGGGGAAACCCUGAUGCAGCGACGCCGCGUGAUUUAGAAGGCCUUCGGGUUGUAAAAAUCUUCUGUAUAGGAAGAAAAUGACAGUACUAUACGAAUAAGGUCCGGCUAAUUACGUG